GUCUCAGUAGCGUAGUGGUUAACGCACGGCCCCGGUUAGGUGCUAGAUGAGGUUUCGAAUCCCGCCUGAGGUG
This 73-nucleotide transfer RNA is filed under the name Nippostrongylus brasiliensis. It matches the Rfam family "tRNA". From Rfam's summary of the family: Transfer RNA (tRNA) molecules are approximately 80 nucleotides in length. Their secondary structure includes four short double-helical elements and three loops (D, anti-codon, and T loops). Lineage: Eukaryota; Metazoa; Nematoda; Chromadorea; Rhabditida; Heligmosomidae. The record is from Rfam by way of RNAcentral.